CAGUGCUGCAUGGCUGUCGUCAGCUCGUGUCGUGAGAUGUUCGGUUAAGUCCGCUAACGAGCGCAACCCUCGCUGUGUGUUACAAGUGUCACACGGUACUGCCGGUCUUAAGCCGGAGGAAGGUGGGGAUGACGUCAAGUCAGCAUGGCCUUUAUGUCCUGGGCUACACACACGCUACAAUGGCCAACACAAUAGGUUGCUAAGCCGCGAGGUGGAGCCAAUCCUCAAAGUUGGUCUCAGUUCAGAUUGCAGGCUGCAACCCGCCUGCAUGAAGAUGGAGUUGCUAGUAACCGCAGGUCAGCUAUACUGCGGUGAAUACGUUCCCGGGGCUU
This 332-nucleotide ribosomal RNA is filed under the name uncultured Leptolinea sp. Its description in RNAcentral is "bacterial SSU rRNA". It matches the Rfam family "Bacterial small subunit ribosomal RNA", at positions 1036 to 1382 of the family's 1533-position model. The record is from RNAcentral. Lineage: Bacteria; Bacillati; Chloroflexota; Anaerolineae; Anaerolineales; Anaerolineaceae.